RNAcentral lists this ribosomal RNA (438 nucleotides) under uncultured Bacillota bacterium. RNAcentral describes it as "bacterial SSU rRNA". It matches the Rfam family "Bacterial small subunit ribosomal RNA", at positions 917 to 1359 of the family's 1533-position model. Lineage: Bacteria; Bacillati; Bacillota. The record is from RNAcentral.
GGGCCCGCACAAGCAGCGGAGCAUGUGGUUUAAUUCGAAGCAACGCGAAGAACCUUACCAGGGCUUGACAUCGCGCGCAAUACAUGGAAACAUGUAGUUCCUUCGGGACGCGCAGACAGGUGGUGCAUGGUUGUCGUCAGCUCGUGUCGUGAGAUGUUGGGUUAAGUCCCGCAACGAGCGCAACCCUUGUCCUUAGUUACCAUCAUUAAGUUGGGGACUCUAGGGAGACUGCCGGGGAUAACUCGGAGGAAGGUGGGGACGACGUCAAAUCAUCAUGCCCCUUAUGUCCUGGGCUACACACGUGCUACAAUGGCCGUUACAGAGGGCAGCGAGACUGUAAAGUUUAGCGAAUCUCAAAAGGCGGUCCCAGUUCGGAUUGUGGGCUGCAACCCGCCCACAUGAAGUCGGAGUUGCUAGUAAUCGCGAAUCAGCAUGUCG